RNAcentral lists this unclassified non-coding RNA (285 nucleotides) under Hevea brasiliensis (rubber tree). The record is from RNAcentral. Lineage: Eukaryota; Viridiplantae; Streptophyta; Magnoliopsida; Malpighiales; Euphorbiaceae.
UAGUUGAGUUGAGUUGAGUUGAAAAGCCGGAUUCUUCAUCAAUCCAUCCUCAAUUCCCAUACAUCUAGGAGAGAAUAAAAUCAUAUGUUUUAGCUCUAAGGGCCAUAUUUAUUUCUACAAGUGUAAGUAUCUCGAGGAAGGCUUGCAUGCAUAUGCAAAAGCCUUUAUUAUAUUCCUGAUAUUUCAAACCAUGGUUGUCAAAUUAAUAUUCGAAUUGAGAAUCAAAAUCUUUAUUCUGUGAAUCGAGAAUCGAAUCAAAUCGUAAGAUUCAAUAAAAAUUCUCAA